UUCGAUUAUAUGGCUCAGAUUGAACGCUUUGGCGGGAUGCUUUACAUACAGUCAGGCAGCAGCACGGACUUCGGUCUGGUGGCGAGUGGCGAACAGGUGAGUAAUGUCGGAACGUGCCUAGUAGCGGGGGAUAACUUCGCGAAAGCGUAGCUAAUACCAUACGCCCUUCGGGGAAAACCAGGGGACCUUCGGGCCUCGCACUAUUAGAGCAGCCGAUAUCGGAUUAGCUAGUUGGUGGGGUAACGGCUCACCAAGGCGACGAUCCGUAGCUGGUUUGUGAAGGACGACCAGCCACACUGGGACUGAGACACGGCCCAGGCUCCUACGAGAGGCAGCAGUGGGGAAUUUUGGACGACGGGGAAGCCUAGUCCAGCCAUCCCACGUGUGCGAUGAAGGCCUUCGGGUUGUAAAAGCACUUUUGGCAGGAAAAGAAACGGCACGGGAUAAUACCCCGUGCAACUGACAGUACCUGCAGAAUAAGCACCAGCUAACUACGUGCCAGCAGCCGCGGUAAUACGUAGGGUGCAGCGGAUAUCGGAAUUACUGGGCGUAAAGCGUGCGCAGGCGGUUCGGAAAGAAAGAUGCUGAAAUCCCAGAGCUUAACUUUGGAACUGCAUUUUUAACUACCGAGCUAGAGUGUGUCAGAGGAGGUGGAAUUCCGCGUGUAGCAGUGAAAUGCGUAGAUGCGGAGGAACACCGAUGGCGAAGGCAGCCUCCUGGGAUGCUGCAGCGCUCGCUGCACGAAAGCGUGGGGAGCAAACGGAGUUAGAUACCCUGGUAGUCCACGCCUAAACGAUGUCAACUAGCUGUUGGGGCCUUCGGGCCUUGGUAGCGCAGCUAACGCGUGAAGUUGACCGCCUGGGAAGUACGGUCGCAAGAUUAAAACUCAAAGGAAUUGACGGGGACCCGCACAAGCGGUGGAUGAUGUGGAUUAAUUCGAUGCAACGCGAAAAACCUUACCUACCCUUGACAUGUCUGGAAUCCGAAGAGAUUUGGGAGUGCUCGCAAGAAAACCGGAACACAGGUGCUGCAUGGCUGUCGUCAGCUCGUGUCGUGAGAUGUUGGGUUAGAAUCCCGCAACGAGCGCAACCCUUGUCGUGGAUUGCUACGAAGGGCCUCUAUUGAGACUACCGGUAACAAACCGGAGGAAGGUGGGGAUGACGUCAAGUCCUCAUGGCCCUUAUGGGUAGGGCUUCACACGUCAUACAAUGGUCGGGACAGAGGAAUUCGCCAACCCGCGAGGGAGCCAAUCCCAGAAACCCGAUCGUAGUCCGGAUCGCAGUCUGCAACUCGACUGCGUGAAGUCGGAAUCGCUAGUAAUCGCGGAUCAGCAUGUCGCGGUGAAUACGUUCCCGGGUCUUGUACACCGCCCGUCACACCAUGGGAGUGGGUUUUACCAGAAGUAGUUAGCCUAACCGUAAGGAGGGCGAUUACCACGGUAGGAUUCAUGACUGGGGUGAAGUCGUAACAAGGUAG
RNAcentral lists this ribosomal RNA (1476 nucleotides) under uncultured Bordetella sp. RNAcentral describes it as "partial 16S-23S ribosomal RNA intergenic spacer". It matches the Rfam family "Bacterial small subunit ribosomal RNA". The record is from RNAcentral. Lineage: Bacteria; Pseudomonadati; Pseudomonadota; Betaproteobacteria; Burkholderiales; Alcaligenaceae.